GACGAACGCUGGCGGCGUGCUUAACACAUGCAAGUCGAGCGGUAAGGCCCUUUCGGGGGUACACGAGCGGCGAACGGGUGAGUAACACGUGGGUGACCUGCCCUCAGCUCUGGGAUAAGCCUGGGAAACUGGGUCUAAUACCGGAUAUGACCUUCCUCCGCAUGGGGGUUGGUGGAAAGUCCAGGAUUGAUUUCUUGGCUCGGCUGGGGAGUGGGCCCGCGGCCUAUCAGCUUGUUGGUGGGGUGAUGGCCUACCAAGGCGACGACGGUAGCCGGCCUGAGAGGCGACCGCCACACUGGGACUGAGACACGGCCCAGACUCCUACGGGAGGCAGCAGUGGGGAAUAUUGCGCAAUGGGCGGAAGCCUGACGCAGCGAC
Molecule: ribosomal RNA, 378 nt
Filed under: uncultured bacterium
Lineage: Bacteria
Description: bacterial SSU rRNA
Rfam family: Bacterial small subunit ribosomal RNA
Source: RNAcentral